This is a long non-coding RNA of Oreochromis aureus, 848 nucleotides long. RefSeq lists it as uncharacterized. The transcript has 7 exons. NCBI's taxonomy places the organism in Eukaryota, Metazoa, Chordata, Actinopteri, Cichliformes, Cichlidae. The record is from RefSeq and is a predicted model, not a curated record.
AGCUGCCCUGCCUGCACUCCAGACGUGCUUGCCGUCUCAGUUGAUGGAAACUGUAAGCUUUAUCGCUUUCAAUCUAAUGCAAGCACUUCAGAGCAGGGGAACUUUGAAGGUGUUUUCAUUCAAAAAGAUGAGGAAGUUGCUGAGUUUAUGAAAUACAUCCAGAGACACACAAAUGAGGUGGCUCAGCUGAGGAACCUCUUGUCAAUGCGUCCUUUUCUCUCCGUCAUGCAUGCAAAGGCUCUCAUUUGGAAAUGCGAGAUCAAAUGGGGAGGUGCGUUUCAGGAUGGGGCCGGUUCUACAGUUGGAAAAGAGGUGGGACAAGUAAACAGUUUCCUGUCUAGGGCGGCCAUUGAAGUACAUGUCUAAAGCAGGGCGAACAGACAUGCUGACCCUCCUGGCUUUGGGGUGGAACAAAAGGAAAGUGGAACAACUGGGCCGCAGUUUGAGCCAGAGAUAUCUCAAGAUCAUAAGGAUCCUUAGAGAACAAAUGGAGAGCCUGAAUGCGACCAAAAAUGAGCUGGGUGUGGAUGACGACACACGGCAGCAAUGGGUGGCCGAUGUGCAGAAAUGGGCUUAAGAAACUGAUCAAACUGAUGGCAGCCUUGGUGCGUUGCAGGCACGAAUAGAGGAGCUUGUCGUCAUCAUCAGAGUGCGAACACAAAGUCUUUACAGACAAAAUGGUGUCACAGUUUCUUUGAAAUGGACCGUUUGAUGCUCAGUUUGUACAGCUUGUACAGCUACUUUGUAAACAGAAUAAAAUCAGAUCCAGGUUUGUUUAAUCUGGAUGUGAUGCGUGUUCUAGCAAACAAAUUGAUGAGUGUAGAUUAAAAUGUAAAUAUAUACAUUAU